AUAGCGGCAUCGGAGCUGCUGUGGAGCCUAAAGCUGUUAAAGUCAGUAGGAAUCUUUUUCUCGACCUACGAGGAUGUGCGUUCAGAGCUUCCAGCUCCCAGCUCAGUCCUUAGUAGUCCUCCCAAGUCUCUAAUGCCAGGUGGAGCUGGGCUGGUUCCCACCAGCUGGAAACUGGCUGUAACGGGGAGCUGAUGGUGGAACAGAAGCAUUAACUAAAGAACGACCCGCAUAACUAUACCGUUUUGCGCUUAUCUCACUCCUUUGCCUACCGGGAGCAGUGCAGAGAUUAUCAAGAUCUGAGAGGAUACAAGGCAUCUCAGUGGAGAACAUCCCUACUGAGUUCAUGGAUCAGGACCUUCACAUGUCUUUCUUCUUUUUCCGCACGUAUGUGGCUUCAUCUACCAUAAUAGAAGUAGGGAACACGAAAGCCCAAUUCACUUGUCAAAUUCUGCUGGAGUUAUUUUUUCGUGCAAGAUGUACCCAUGGGAAAUUAGUAGAACUCAAACACAUCAACAACAAAUUAUAACAGUAUCUGGAGACAGCAAAAGGAAGAAAUUACUAUACUGAGAAUAUACUGAAAAUCCAGGCUGGUCUAAAUAAAAUGUAUAAUAAAGAUGAAAUUGUGUGUUACUUCUGUUUUUAUUAUAAGUAAUUUAAUGUUCUUAGAUUUGUUAAUGUUCUGACUCUCAGUAAUCAGUAGUUACGGUUAUAGAUAAAAACGAGGAGGGGAAGAAAACAGCAUGCUUGGUGUUUAAUUCAUAAGGCAGUUAGGAGGGACAUACAUAUCUUGACAGGUACAGUGCUAAUACAGUGCUACAUCUUGCUGUAAGCUGUAAUCACAAUGUAUUCGAGCAGAAUGAAAGAUUUAUUUUGAAGCAAGUUGUCUUUGUCUGUUCUCUACAACUUGUAGCGCAGAACUGUACAUACUGGGAUAAGGGGAGUGGGUGGCACUGUAGCUCUGCAGGGGAAGGAAGUGCCCUUUUGGUAUUUUAAGUUGCUCAGAGAUUGUCUUUGUAGCACUGUCAGUCAAAAACAACACUUCAGGGCUGAGGUAAUAAAGUGAUUUUCCUUAUUCAGCAAUUUUAGAGGCUCUACUAUGUUGGCUGCCCUCCGGGAAUAUAAAAUGUGUUACCAGUUAAAUGCAUGACAACAGAUAACUUACUUCAGCAGUAAUCUAGCUGCUCCCCUAUCACGUAGGCAAUUUAGCUGGAUAAGAACACAAGCCAUCCUGAACUGAGGGAGUACUGAGUGAAUUCUUGCUCCAAACACAGCAGUGAUAUUUGAAUACAGGUCUCCUGCCUUCCCACAGGGCUUUGAAGAGAAAUGGGACAAAUGGGGAAUGGAGAUUUCUACUAGAGCUUGGACAAGCUGUUACUGGGAGAGUUAUGGCAAUUCUGCCAGUGAAAAUAAAGCUGCCAUGAGGAGUUUAAGGGUCUGAAGAGGUGUGUGUGAGGACGUCAGUGGGAUAUUGGUGCUGGUUUGAAAGCAUGAAAGAUAAGAGGAUUUCCAGCUUUUGCCUCCUAUUAGCUGAAGAGUUCUGCUUUCCCAUCACUGCUUCUGCUGUUGGUUUAUGUGUGCGUGUGUGUUUUACUGUGACUCAACAAAUCCAUCUAUGCCAACAGUGUAUGAGGCAAAUAUGAACAUGCUUGCAUGCAUUGAGAAAUUCUUGUCUCAAAAGGCCCUUGAGGCAAGAAAGAGGCUCAGAAAGCCUGCAGAUCCCUAGCAGCUGGAAGGUUUUCUAGAGAGCAUUGUUCCAUGAUUAUUUUGUGCUUAGAGUCCUCCCUUAGCAUCUGCCAUUGGCCACUUCUUCAGCCAAGAUACAGGCAUGGAUGUAAUGUGAUCCAGCAUGCUCCAUAAAGGCCAUCGCCACAGAACUGAGCCUUGUUUUCCCUGAGUUCAUUUGUGAGAUACUGAACCUGUUAGAGUCAUACACUUGGCUAAGCAGGUCAGCUGAAAACUGUUUUAUGAGUCUAAGCUGAGAGCGUUCACAUAACUUAUGACUGAAGCAGCACGAGAACAAAUAGAGGAAGAUUAAAAUCUCUUAUGCAUGUUCACUGAUCUAAAAGCAGUAGGAUUUUUAACAAGUUAUUUCUUGUGUUAGUGACCUGGCUCUGACUCCUGCUCAGGGCCAUGGAGCUCAGAGUGACUGUUUCCAGGCUUUUCCAUUGGCUGUCCUCACCAAGAUCUCCCUGGCCUCACGUUCUGAGCUUGUGACAAAGCAGAACUUAACACAAAAGAUACAGAAAAGGGCAGUUAAUACCUCUUCCUCUGUACGUUCUCUACUGCUAGAAUGUACUGCUGAGAAAACAAUAAAAUACUAAUUAAAAAAAUAUAUAUAUGUCAAAAGUCUCCAAGCAGGCAUGGAAAAAAUAGGCACAGAUGUGCUGAUUCACCUUUUUGCUUGUGAAUAGAGGGAGUGAGUUUUGCCUCCUCUAACAAAGGUUGUUUCCAGGUCUGCCCAACGAUAAAACUGCUAUAUCAAAAUGUUUUUUCUUCUUGUUGUCUGUUUGUUUUCAUUGCUUGGGGAUAUGGCUGUGCUGGAUUGAGUGGCCAAAUAAACAGAAUUAAUAGGUUCACCGUGGGAUGAUUUUUUGACGAACUAGCCACGUG
Molecule: long non-coding RNA, 2610 nt
Organism: Meleagris gallopavo (turkey)
Lineage: Eukaryota; Metazoa; Chordata; Aves; Galliformes; Phasianidae
Source: Ensembl